Molecule: long non-coding RNA, 264 nt
Filed under: Mytilus galloprovincialis (Mediterranean mussel)
Lineage: Eukaryota; Metazoa; Mollusca; Bivalvia; Mytilida; Mytilidae
Source: RNAcentral
UUUAUUUUUAUGGGGGGGCUAGGAUGAAAAUUUUGUCCUGCAUUUUUUUUUAGCUGUAAUCUCUGUCCUGCUUUUUAAUUUUUCACUCUGUUUGGUCCUGCCUUUUUUUUUUAGUUUAUCUGACUUUUUUUUUCCUAAAUUGUCGUCCUGACUUUUUUUUUGCAAAGUGUCUCAUCCUGCCUUUUUUUUUACUCAAAACUCCUGUCCUGCCUAUUUUUUCAAAUUUCAUCCUAGCCCCCCCAUAAAAAUCAAAUGGUAGCUCCC